Regulatory RNA element from Tannerella forsythia 92A2, 96 nucleotides. It matches the Rfam family "TPP riboswitch aptamer (THI element)". Rfam says of the family: Vitamin B(1) in its active form thiamin pyrophosphate (TPP) is an essential coenzyme that is synthesised by coupling of pyrimidine and thiazole moieties in bacteria. The previously detected thiamin-regulatory element, thi box was extended, resulting in a new, highly conserved RNA secondary structure, the THI element, which is widely distributed in eubacteria and also occurs in some archaea. Lineage: Bacteria; Pseudomonadati; Bacteroidota; Bacteroidia; Bacteroidales; Tannerellaceae. The record is from Rfam.
UUUAUAUAACAGGGGUGCCUUACUUUUACAGGCUGAGAUCAUACCCUUACACCUGAUCCGGGUAAUGCCGGCGUAGGAAGAUGUAGGUUUUUUUGU